Molecule: non-coding RNA, 914 nt
Filed under: Trimeresurus stejnegeri stejnegeri
Lineage: Eukaryota; Metazoa; Chordata; Lepidosauria; Squamata; Viperidae
Source: RNAcentral
AGGUCUUGGUCUUAAACCUCACAUUACCUAAAAACCAUCUGUUUAUACAUGCGAGCCUCACCGCAACGGUGAAACAGCCAUAACAACCUAAGCCGACAUCAGUCUAUUUGACCACAACGCCAAGCGACAGCCACACCCCCACGGGCAACAGCAGUAAUUAACAUUUGGCCAUAAGUGAAAACUUGACCAAGCAAGAUGGGUAGAGGGCCGGUUAAUCUCGUGCCAGCGACCGCGGUUACACGAUAGGCCCAAGAUAAUAUUAACGGCGUAAAAAUGACUAAAAAUAAUAGUUACUAAACCUAGGAUAAAAACUACACUGGGCUGUAAAAAGCCAUAAGUCACACUAAGCACCACCCCUAACACCACACAACUUUGACUCAUGAAAGCUAGGAUACAAACUAAGAUUAGAUACCCUACUAUGCCUAGCCGUAACACACAAUCAAAUUACGAAUUGUUCGCCAAACAACUACGAGUAAUACUUAAAACUUAAAAGACUUGACGGUACUUCACCCCGACCUAGAGGAGCCUGUCUAAUAACCGACAAUCCACGAUUAACCCAACCACUUCUUGCCUAACAGUCUAUAUACCGCCGUCGCCAGCUUACCUUGUAAAAGAAAUAAAGUGAGCUAAACAGUAACACACUAAAACGACAGGUCGAGGUGUAACCUAUGAAGCGGACCAAGAUGGGCUACAUUCUCCAACAGAGAAUACGAACAACACUAUGAAAUUAAUGUUUGAAGGCGGAUUUAGCAGUAAGAUAAGAACAAAACACUUAACUGAACACAACGCAAUGAAGUGCGCACACACCGCCCGUCAUCCCUGCCACCACAAUAUUAAAUCUUAAUAAAUCAACUUAAUAAGCCAACCAGGGCAAGUCGUAACAUGGUAGGUGUACUGGAAAGUGUACCUAGAAA